GGGCUGGUGGUGUAGCUGGCCUAACACAUCUCCCUGUCACGGAGAAGAUCGAGGGUUCGAAUCCCUUCCAGCCCGCCA
Molecule: transfer RNA, 78 nt
Filed under: Candidatus Kerfeldbacteria bacterium CG_4_10_14_0_8_um_filter_42_10
Lineage: Bacteria; Candidatus Kerfeldiibacteriota
Description: tRNA-Asp
Rfam family: tRNA
About the family: Transfer RNA (tRNA) molecules are approximately 80 nucleotides in length.
Source: RNAcentral